GUUUUGGUUAUAGAGGUGGGAUUAUGUAGUAUGUAUCUACAAUUAAUAACAAUGGUUAUAAAAACAUUUUUAAAAAUCAUUCUUAACCAGCUUAAUGAAUUGAUGGUGUUAACUGGUUAUUAGGUGUUGAAAAAUGUGUUUGUGGUCAGAGCAAACUUCUGAUUGAUGUGGGAGAAGUGUCUUCCUGUCUGCUACAGGCUGCAGUAGAUUCAUCUUAAAUGUUGUGUGAGGGGAACCUGGUCUCACUGUUUUAAAUGUUUUAAUCAAGCCAGUGACAUGAGGAUCAUUCAGCUUCAGCUCUAUGUCUUAAUCUGUUGUCAAGCAGCAGUAGCAGAUCAACUAACUGAUUUGGGAUCAAAUGUGACCAUAAACUGUGAUCUUGAUGAAAAUGAGGUUUAUUGGAUUUUACUGAAAACACCAGAUCCUCCAACAGUGAUUCUACGAUCAUUACAAACACCACUACCACCUUUUUACCCUAAUAAAACAUUCAGAAAGAAAUAUUCAGUGCAGUUUAAACAUUGUCUGGUUAUAAAUAAUGUGACAGCUGAUGAAUUAGGAGUUUAUUACUGUAUAAACACUGAUACACCUCCAAAAUUCAGCAACGGCUCCAGACUGUACUUCAAUGGUGAGUUCAUUUACUCCUUCAGAGAUCAAGUGCUUACUGAUCACCACACAUACUUGUGAUUUACUAAAGUUUUAGAUACUUAUGAAAAACAAUUAAUAAAUUAUAUAUUAUCAGUAUUUUCAGAGCUACAGAUCUGCAGCCAUUGCACUAACAGUAAUGGUUUUUAUAGUAACAGACUGUGGGCACUUUCUUUACAGAAUCAGUUCAACCAUCUGAGUGUCACAAUCAUACAGUGAUUCGGUUUAUUGAUCAGAAUGAAACACAAUGUCAGAUUAUUAUCAUCAUAUCUGCUCUGAUGAAUGGGCUUCUGGUUGUUGUGGUGAUUGGACUUGUAAAGGUUUUUGUUGUUGGAAACAGAAGGUCAGCAGAAGGAUCACGACAGCCCAACACUGAUCUACAGCAGAAUCAAGUUAUAGAAGAGCAGCAGAAUCCAGACCAAUUACAGUAUGCCAUGAUGGACUUUUCCAAGAUGCGUAGAAAUUUUCGCUCCAGCCAAAUCAACAGCACCUAUGCUGCUCUGAAGCUGCCGAAGUCAUGAAUAUAUGAGUAUCUUAUACUUAUUUUGUUCAUGUUUUCUUGAUGUUCAUUCAACUCUGAAACUUCUAAUCACAAACUGUUUGGAAAUGUAACACACAAGACAUUAAUCAGCCAAACAUUCCAACUCUCUUUUGAUCAAGAGGUUUCAAACUGGGGUCUGCGGGAAAGUUCAGAGAAAACCAUUUUAAAAAAUAAAUAAAGUUAAAAUUGAUUAAAAUUGAUAUUAUUACUGUUUCAUUUCUCUUUCUAAAAAAUAUUUGAAAAUCAUUAGAUUAUUCGCAAUUAUUGUAUAAUAUUUACAGCCAUAUUUUGCUUGAUUUCUCUUUAGGUUUAUACAUCUAAAUAGGUAGAAAAAAUACAGUGUCUUCUUAAAAGAAAGUAAAUAUUUUCCAGACAAUAUUUUACUUAAUUUAUGAAACAGUCAGGCAUUCACACAGCAUUUAAUAUGUAUGUGUGUGUGUGUGUG
Long non-coding RNA from Megalobrama amblycephala (Wuchang bream), 1628 nucleotides. RefSeq lists it as uncharacterized. The transcript is spliced from 4 exons. The record is from RefSeq and is a predicted model, not a curated record. Lineage: Eukaryota; Metazoa; Chordata; Actinopteri; Cypriniformes; Xenocyprididae.